AUGAUUCAUCCAAAGAAGCUGGCUCAACUGGCUAAGAAGUUGCAGAGGCUGGUGUCAGCCGGUGGCCAGGAGACUGCAGACACCGACGGAUGCUGCAGCACUGCUUCUGUUGCAGACAAGGGCCAUUGUGUUGUGUACACCGCCGAUGGAUCACGGUUCGAGGUCCCGUUGGCUUACCUUGACACAGUGGUCUUCAGAGAGCUCCUACGGAUGUCUUAA
RNAcentral lists this ribosomal RNA (219 nucleotides) under Triticum aestivum (bread wheat). Its description in RNAcentral is "partial small subunit ribosomal RNA". The record is from RNAcentral. Lineage: Eukaryota; Viridiplantae; Streptophyta; Magnoliopsida; Poales; Poaceae.